This is a long non-coding RNA of Cercocebus atys (sooty mangabey), 799 nucleotides long. RefSeq lists it as uncharacterized. The record is from RefSeq and is a predicted model, not a curated record. NCBI's taxonomy places the organism in Eukaryota, Metazoa, Chordata, Mammalia, Primates, Cercopithecidae. The transcript is spliced from 3 exons.
UCAUGUUGAGAUGUAAUCUCCAAUAUUGGAGAUGGGCUCUGGUGGGAGGUGACUAUAUCAUGAAGACACAUUUCUCCUACAUGGUUAGCACCAUCCCCUUGAUAAUGUCCUCACAAUAGUGAAUGAUUUCAUAUGAGAUCUGGUUGUUUAAAGUUGUGUGACACCUCUCCCACUCUCUCUUCCUCCCUAUCUUGCCACGUGAUAUGCUUGUUGCUGCUGCUGCUUCUGCCGUAAAUAAAAGUUCCCUGAGGUCUCCCCAGAAGUUAGGCAGAUCCCAGCACCAUGAUUGUACAGGCUGCAGAACUAGCUAUGUAUACCAACUACAUUCCUAACAAGAUUUCGUUCCAUUUUAUAUCAUCUCUGAAUUUUCCACACUAACGGAGUCCACAGACUCUAACUGGGGACAUGGUCAUUUGGGAUCAAGACCGCAUGCAUUUCUGAAUCUAUCUUUUGAAGAACAGAAAUAAGUCUGACCUCUGCCCAGUGAGAUGCAAACAAAGCUUCAGAUGCUGCUGGUAAACCUAAGAAGAUAAUAACAGUUCUUGCCAUUUUAGAAUAUGUAUUAUGUUGGAGGAGGGACAUUGAAAACAAUAAUAAAACAUACCAGUAAAUUUUAGUUAAGAUGGUGAGGGGAGGCUUGAGCUGGUGGGGGACGGGCAUCUGGUUGGAGUUACCAGAAGGAGACCACUGGGGGUUGGUCCAUGGUGAAAAUGGAAUGGCGAAAGUAAAAUUAGAAAGAUAGAUAGAUGAAAGUCUUUGUUAAGAAAUCUGAAAUCUGAGUGCAGUGAGAAGCGAAUUG